AAAUACAUAUGUGGCAGAGUAUGGGCACCAAUGGAAGGAGAAGCCUUGGUCCUACCUAGGUUUGUCUCCCAGUUCAAGGGAAUUUCAAGGGGCAGAAUUAUGGUUAGAGAAGAAGGGAUUGUGAACAGGUAGUGAUCUUAUGGGCAGGAAAUUGAGAAAGGACAUAAUAUUUUAAAUGUAAAUAUAGACUCAUCCAGUUUAAAAACACUAUAAUUUGAUAAAAAUUUAAAAAAGAAAGAUUUAAAAGUAAAGAAAACUGCCAACUAAUCACACUUAUUUACUCAGAUCUCUAAAUUGGUAUUCAGAGUAAUACUAGUGGAAAGACAAAGAUGAUGAAGUCUCAACUAGAAGCACUUCUUUCUCCGAAAUAUCCGUGUCAGACACAAAAUGCACUAUAGGUAUCCAAAGCUUGGAGGAGUUUACUCUGAGCUAAGUACUCAAUACUUGUCUUUACCUCCUUCCUUAAGACCUUUUUCUUCUGGGCAAAAAGAAUAAAGGCCAUAGCUCUCAGAAAAACAACUGUGCCCUCUCAAAAUCUAUUCUUUGCAAUUAAGAAAUGAAUGAUAUAAACCCUUUGACAUUCAGGAACCAUAAGAACAGGGAAUUCCAGAUGCUUCUGUGACGCUUCCAGCUCUUGAUUCUCAUAUGUGUAAGUCUCAGAUCAAGUCUAUCUCUUCAGCGAUACCACUCCAACCCUUCCAAGGGCUCUCUGAACUUUUCAAAAUACCACUUAUUUCUUCAUUUUUUUCAUACAAAGACAGAAGGCCAGGUUCCUUCUUCACAUCUCUGAUCUCCUCAUCCUGUUUGUUCUCACUCCCAAAUGGCUGUUUACUCUGAAUUAGUGGCAAAUUAGCAAACCAGAGAGGUAAUGAGGUAAUAUGUGAGAGUCAGUUCCUGUCAGGACAAUAAUUGUUACAUCACAGAAGAAGCUAGGGCUCUCCUAGUUACAACAGAUUUUUCAUGGAGGUCCUAUUUAUGAUGUCACUGAGAACUGCCAUCUCCUACCUGCUAAACAGCUUUCCUUACAUUUACCAGAUUCGAGGGUGUCCUUUCCAGGAAUAAAGAAAAGGACUGUUUGCUGCACGAUCUCUUGAUAUCACGGAACAAUUCUUCCAACACUACAAAGUGAAAUCUCAUAAAGAAAUGGGUACCCGAAGCCACAGUUUCUUACCUUCUAUUUGGUUGUGCACACUGUGACCACCAUUUCAUUUUAACCAGGUUUAACGCAAAGCUUCUUUGAAGAUGUUCCCAUUUCCACCAACUCACUUCAACCUCAAUGCCCUGGCAUUACCCUACACUGGGGAAACAAGUCUUCACUGGAUUAAAGGAUUUUAAUUCCAAUCAUGCUGGACAGUGCAUUUCUCUGCCACACAUGUGGCUGGAAUCAUUGGUUCCUCAAA
Non-coding RNA from Rattus norvegicus (Norway rat), 1400 nucleotides. NCBI's taxonomy places the organism in Eukaryota, Metazoa, Chordata, Mammalia, Rodentia, Muridae. The record is from RefSeq and is a predicted model, not a curated record.